This 82-nucleotide transfer RNA is filed under the name Cystobasidium sp. Its description in RNAcentral is "tRNA-Tyr". It matches the Rfam family "tRNA". Rfam says of the family: Transfer RNA (tRNA) molecules are approximately 80 nucleotides in length. The record is from RNAcentral. Lineage: Eukaryota; Fungi; Basidiomycota; Cystobasidiomycetes; Cystobasidiales; Cystobasidiaceae.
UGAGUGAUACACCUAAUGGUAAGGGGACUCACUGUAAAUGAGUUGUCGUAAGACAUUAUAGGUUCAAGUCCUAUUCACUCAA